This 245-nucleotide ribosomal RNA is filed under the name uncultured Staphylococcus sp. RNAcentral's name for it is "partial 16S ribosomal RNA". It matches the Rfam family "Bacterial small subunit ribosomal RNA", at positions 96 to 334 of the family's 1533-position model. Lineage: Bacteria; Bacillati; Bacillota; Bacilli; Caryophanales; Staphylococcaceae. The record is from RNAcentral.
CGGCGGACGGGUGAGUAACACGUGGAUAACCUACCUAUAAGACUGGGAUAACUUCGGGAAACCGGAGCUAAUACCGGAUAAUAUUUUGAACCGCAUGGUUCAAAAGUGAAAGACGGUCUUGCUGUCACUUAUAGAUGGAUCCGCGCUGCAUUAGCUAGUUGGUAAGGUAACGGCUUACCAAAGCAACGAUGCAUAGCCGACCCUGAGAGGGUGAUCGGCCACACUGGAACUGAGACACGGUCCAG